AGUGACACAAUCUUUCGAUUGACAAGAUUACAUUUUUCAUCUAACUAUGAAUUUCUAGAAUUCGUCAGUUUCCAGAAGCAAGCAUAAUUUCUUUCUGUUGACGCAAUUCGAUGUUUUACCUAAGACGUCAUUUCAUCAAACAACAAAUAAAUUAUGCAGAGACUUGAAAGUAGUAUCCCAUUAUUGCAGCCCAGAGAUCGUUGAACCGUGAUGGUUAAUGUACCCAACCAGGUGAUUCUGUAGUAUAUAACCUGCCUCCGAGAACCUGUUGACGUCAGAGCUGUAAUCAGGGGAAUCCCGACAGUUUUCCUGCUUUCUUUAACGUUCGAGGAUAAAUCCAUUGCCAUUUUCCGCCUUCCACGGUAAAUUGGCAGUUAGAUUUUUAGCGCAGUAUAAUUUGAUUUACCCACCGUGACGCAAAUUCAUCGACGCAAAUUCUAAACUUAGAACAUCAACAAAUAAAUGUAAAAUUAUUGCCACUAACAACAAACGUGAGAUUCAAUUCCAUUAUUUUAUAAUAAUUCAUGUGAAAAUCCUACGGACAUCUUAAUAAUAUUUGUCAUUGUUUACCUAGUUGCGAUUACACUGGUAUUAUGAAGUAAAAUAACGAAAAGAUAUUGUAUGUUCAAUUUAUAUUACUAUCGUAAUAAAUAGAUGAUUCAUAUAUAU
Megalopta genalis is the source of this 669-nucleotide non-coding RNA. The record is from RefSeq and is a predicted model, not a curated record. Lineage: Eukaryota; Metazoa; Arthropoda; Insecta; Hymenoptera; Halictidae.